This 2880-nucleotide ribosomal RNA is filed under the name Triticum aestivum (bread wheat). RNAcentral describes it as "partial small subunit ribosomal RNA". The record is from RNAcentral. Lineage: Eukaryota; Viridiplantae; Streptophyta; Magnoliopsida; Poales; Poaceae.
AUGGAGCUCACGAAGCAGGGGCGGGCGCCACAGCCGCAAUUGCCUUCGGCUGCGCACCGGUCCGCGCAGGUCCCGUACCCCGCUGGCAACUGGGGCGCGCGGGCGCCGGCCAGCUCCUACUUGAUCGUGCCCAUGAGCCAGCACCCUGCGCAGGUUGGCGUGCCCAGGCCCAGCGCGGACCUCACCGGGGCGAGGCCUUUGAGCAGGGUGUCGUUGAGUCCGCCACAACAUGUGCUGCGUGUUCAAGCGGGUCAUCCGGGGAUGGUUGCGCCGCCGCCGCCCUCGGUGGUCAAGAAGAUGGCGAUGUCGCCGAAGGUCCAGAUGCUCAAGUCGCCACCAUCGCAGUUGUCUGCUGGCAAGCGUUCUGUUCAGAAGGAACUGCCGCCGAAGGCUCAUCCGCAGUUGUCUGAGUCUGUGAGAUCGAAAUUCAGGGAGGCUCUGGCUGCUGCCUUGAGUACAGAUUCUGACCAGCAAUCUUCUGGAAAUGUGUCACUUGUGGGAUCAGCUGGUGACAACAGGCAGGCAGACGGUGGUACAAUGCAAGGAAUCACAGCCGUAUUCCAGGUUGCAGGUAAAGAUGAUGAUGAUAAUGUCACAAAGGUUGCUGCUAUCAGAAGUGAACACGGUGGCAUGUUAUGUAUGCAGCUACAAACAGAACAUGUUCCCUUGGGAAACAAAGUAUUGGGCAAUAGUGCUGUUUCUUUAGAUGAUCUUUUGCAAGGUGAUGGGGUUUGCUGGACUCCCCACAUUGUUCUUGGAGCUUCUGAAUCCAUGUCACAACCAAAUCCAAAAAGGGCCAGGAUGUCUGAUGAGCUGUUCAAAUUAUUUGAGGGAGUUAAUAAGAAAUACAAGGAGAAAGGUAGAUCACUUCUGUUUAAUCUGAAAGAUAAAAACAAUCCUGGGCUGAGGAAACGAGUCUUGUCUGGAGAAAUAACACCUAAAUGCCUAUGUGCGAUGACCAUUGAAGAACUUGCUUCAAAGGAGCUUUCAGAGUGGCGGAUGGCUAAAGCUGAAGAGCUUGCAAAAAUGGUUGUUCUUCCUGGUAGAGAAGUGGACGUUAGACGCUUGGUGAGGAAAACACACAAGGGAGAAUUUCAAGUUGAGGUGGAAGAAACUGAUGUUUUUCCGGUAGAAGUUGGGCUUGGUGGUGAUUCACUUUCUUAUGUUCCAUCAGAACCUGUUGCAGUUAAGACCAAAUCUGACGAUAAAGCAAGUGUACCCUGGGUGACCAAGGAAUCGGACAACAGUGUGCAAGAUGUAGUUGGGACAUGGAACAGCAACACAUCAAGCAAUUUAGAAUAUCCAGCAAAUGAGAAAAAUGAUCUCAUGCUAGAACCAAUGGUUGAUGACUUGAAGGUUAUGGAGAAUCUUCCGCUGAUCAUUUCACUGGAUGAAUUCAUGCAGGUCCUUGAUUCAGGACCACAUUCUAAAGAUCAGUCCAUUGGAGCCCUGCAAGAUGAUCCUAAUACUAACAAAGCUGACAAAGCUAAGUCAGCAAAUGUUCCCAUAACCAUAGACAAGGCCGCCGUAUCAGAAUUCCAAUUUCAUUCUGAUGUGCCGUCUCAAAGAGGUUAUUGUGAAUCCAAGUUAGAAUCACCCAUAAACAAAUCAGUUCCAGUUUUGGAUCCAGUUGAAGAACCAAAGGGAGGUGUGUUAGUCAAAUCCCCCCCUGAAGUGGUGGAUGCUGAAAAAUCAGAUACUGUUAACGUCUCGAUUCCUGAAUCUACUAUGCAGUGUAAGAUAACUCCUGAUGCUGUGCUGACACAUGACAUCAUAUGGGAGGGAACAAUUGAGCUUAGUUUGUCUUCACUCACAAAUAUUGUUGCUAUCUUCAAAAGUGGUAAAAAGCCAUCUACAAAUGAGUGGCGCCGCUUUCUUGAAAUCAAGGGAAGAGUGAGCCUCAGUGCUUUUGAAGAAUUUCUUGAACAGCUUCCUAAAUCCAGGAGCCGUACCAUAACGUUACGUUGGAAGGAGGGCUCUCUUGAGAGUGGUCGACAUCAUCUCUUAAAGACUAUUGACUCAUAUAUAGCAGAUGAGAGAGUAGGGCUAGUGAAGCCUUCUGAAGGGGUGGAGUUGUACCUCUGUCCUUCUCAAGGGAAGGCAGCUCAGAUGCUUGCUGACCACCUGCCAAAGGAGCACUCGGGUAGUUUUACUGUGCCUGGAACAUCUAUCAUCGGAGUCGUCGUGUGGCGAAGACCCCAUGCCUCAUCUAGGGUGCCCAACAGGCAAGAUGACUCCAAGAGGCAGGCUGCCACUUCUGGUUCAGCUAUGCCCAUGAUCUCCCAGCCAUCAUCUCGCUCUUCCAAUGCUUCUCAUCAGGAAGUUGUAACCGCCGAUGUUCCUCCUGGCUUUGGUUCUGGUGUUGUUAGGGAUGAUGAUGACCUACCUGAAUACAAUUUCGUUAGCGUCUCAAACUCGGCUGCCAAUGUGACAGUGCCACAGAGUUACAGGAGCCAUCAGCAUCUACCGCACACUUCUCCCCGAACAGACCGAGUGAGAGAAUUGAUUCGCAAGUAUGGUAACAGAUCUGCUGCAGCCCAGCCCUUGAACACCGAUGGCGACGACGACGACUUACCAGAAUGGGAUCCGUGUUCUCAAGGUAACCUCCAGCAGGCGCGGAUUCCACAGCCACAUUACCCUUAUCAACAUCAUGAGCAGCUGCAGUACCAUUCCUUGCUUCCGCAAUCGCAAAGCUCACUGUCCCAGGCAUACCCCCAGCAGCACCAGCAUGUUGCCAUGCCCGUGCAUGCUCAGUCGCUGACCUACAGCCACCCAAUGCAGCCUGCUCAGCAAUCCUACUUCGGUGUACCAGACGAUGGCAGUGGGUCCUACGUCAGAGGUAAAACCCAUGGCACCGGGAAGGCUGGAGCCAAUGGAUGA